ACUCAGUGAGUACAAGAGGUUUGUUUGAAACAGACCGCAAUGGAGAGAUCAGCGCCCAGGGAAGCGAGGGAACAGCAGGCUCCUUCCAGCAGCACAUCGGGAUGGGAGCCUGGGACACAGAGGGGGCUCCGAGACCCGGAUUGAUUCGGGGUGGUGUCCCUGUGUCUUCCUCCAGAUAAACACCUGAGGGACUAAGACACUGUAAUACUUCCUCAGUUCAAAGCAAAGAGUGACAAGCUGCCUCUAACAAACAGAAGGGUUGUGUUUCAAAUUCAAAGACGACAGAAGGUCUGACGAGUUAGAAUUGACAGAGGGUCAGUCGUGUUGUGUAGGAACACCAAGAGGUAUCUCUUCUGUCUUCCUCCAAGCAAGUACUCAAAGAACCAAGACAAUAUAAUAUUCCCUCGGUACAGAGCCAAGUGUGACCAGCUACUUCAAACAAACAGCAGGUUCCUCCGUGUGUUGUUUAUCCUAUUGGUGAGCUGUGGGAUGGGGUCAAACUCUCUCUUUUGGGGUACGAUAUUUUGCCUCACUGUUUGUUGUGUCUCAGACACAAGGAUGCUGCAGGGAUGCUGCAGCUAUACAAAACCCUGGUUCGACACCACUUGGAGCAGAUCUGGGCACCACACCUGAGGAAGGAUCGAUUGGCCUGGGAGGGAGCACAGCUUCACUGGUGGGUUGUGAAAAUCACUGGCUGGGCCGAGAAUUUAUUAUCCACCUUGAGAAGGAGGUAGUGAGCUGCCUUCUUGAAUCACUGCAGUUCCUGUGCUGUACGUUGACCCACGAUACCAUUAGAGAGAGAACUACAGGACUUUGACCCAGCAACACUAAAAAAUACUGAUAUAUUUCCAAGUUGGGAUGAUGCUGCCGACCUGCUGAGUUUCUGAAGUAAUUUUUUAGAAUGUUCCUGUCAAGACUUCAGCUGGACCCCAGUGAAGAACGAGCACAGAUCAAAGUGGAAGAAUGAAUUAUCUAGCUCUGUGAGGUUGAUGGAAUUCCUGGUCACAUUAAAUAUUGUUCCAAUCCCUGGUGAUCGUAACAAAGUAUCUGCCUUGGUGCUGGGACUGGAAGGACUCAAUGGCCAGCUCUCUCCUGUCUGAGCUAAAGUCGUAAUUCCCGCUGGUAUUGUUUAAGGCUUACCUUUGAAAGUACCUCGACACAAUACACAUUCUUGAACAAGACGAUUCCCAAUCGGAACCUCCAUUUUAUUGACUCUGGGCGUGAGGAAAACCCUAGCAACAGGAACUGGAACAAAACAAGACAAAGAGGAAAUAAAAGAUUGGAUGCUAAAAUUGUCUUUCUU
Long non-coding RNA from Hemiscyllium ocellatum (epaulette shark), 1303 nucleotides. RefSeq lists it as uncharacterized. The record is from RefSeq and is a predicted model, not a curated record. The transcript has 8 exons. NCBI's taxonomy places the organism in Eukaryota, Metazoa, Chordata, Chondrichthyes, Orectolobiformes, Hemiscylliidae.